GUAGUACAGCAACAGCUGAACUGUAUAUAAUAGUGCUGUCUCGAGCUCCUGGGUCUGGC
This 59-nucleotide non-coding RNA is filed under the name Ctenophora environmental sample. The record is from RNAcentral. Lineage: Eukaryota; Metazoa; Ctenophora.